UACGAAGGGGGCGAGCGUUGUUCGGAUUUACUGGGCGUAAAGGGCGCGUAGGCGGCCUUGUCAGUCAGGCGUGAAAGCCCCGGGCUCAACCUGGGAACGGCGCUUGGGACGGCGAGGCUGGAGUUCGGGAGAGGAGAGUGGAAUUCCCAGUGUAGAGGUGAAAUUCGUAGAUAUUGGGAAGAACACCGGUGGCGAAGGCGGCUCUCUGGACCGACACUGACGCUGAGGCGCGAAAGCGUGGGGAUCAAACAGG
This 253-nucleotide ribosomal RNA is filed under the name uncultured bacterium. Its description in RNAcentral is "partial 16S ribosomal RNA". It matches the Rfam family "Bacterial small subunit ribosomal RNA", at positions 524 to 776 of the family's 1533-position model. The record is from RNAcentral.